UACGUAGGGUGCGAGCGUUGUCCGGAUUUAUUGGGCGUAAAGAGCGUGUAGGCGGUUAUACAGGUCCGCUGUGAAAACUGGAGGCUUAACCUCCAGACGUCGGUGGAAACCGUAUGACUAGAGUCCGGAAGAGGAGAGUGGAAUUCCUGGUGUAGCGGUGAAAUGCGCAGAUAUCAGGAAGAACACCCGUGGCGAAGGCGGCUCUCUGGGACGGUACUGACGCUGAGACGCGAAAGCGUGGGGAGCGAACAGG
RNAcentral lists this ribosomal RNA (253 nucleotides) under uncultured bacterium. Its description in RNAcentral is "partial 16S ribosomal RNA". It matches the Rfam family "Bacterial small subunit ribosomal RNA", at positions 524 to 776 of the family's 1533-position model. The record is from RNAcentral.